AAACUUUCAACAACGGAUCUCUUGGUUUUGGCAUCGAUGAAGAACGCAGCGAAAUGCGAUAAGUAAUGUGAAUUGCAGAAUUCAGUGAAUCAUCGAAUCUUUGAACGCACAUUGCGCCUCCUGGUAUUCCGGGAGGCAUGCCUGUUUGAGCGUCAUUACAACCCUCACG
Molecule: ribosomal RNA, 169 nt
Filed under: Terriera minor
Lineage: Eukaryota; Fungi; Ascomycota; Leotiomycetes; Rhytismatales; Rhytismataceae
Description: 5.8S ribosomal RNA
Rfam family: 5.8S ribosomal RNA
About the family: 5.8S ribosomal RNA (5.8S rRNA) is a component of the large subunit of the eukaryotic ribosome. It is transcribed by RNA polymerase I as part of the 45S precursor that also contains 18S and 28S rRNA. Functionally, it is thought that 5.8S rRNA may be involved in ribosome translocation.
Source: RNAcentral